Molecule: ribosomal RNA, 459 nt
Filed under: uncultured bacterium
Lineage: Bacteria
Description: partial 16S ribosomal RNA
Rfam family: Bacterial small subunit ribosomal RNA
Source: RNAcentral
CCUACGGGUGGCUGCAGUGAGGAAUAUUGGUCAAUGGGCGCGAGCCUGAACCAGCCAAGCCGCGUGAGGGAAGACGGUCCUAUGGAUUGUAAACUCCUUUUGUCGGGGAGCAAAAGACGCCACGCGUGGCGUUCCGAGAGUACCCGACGAAUAAGCAUCGGCUAACUCCGUGCCAGCAGCCGCGGUAAUACGGAGGAUGCGAGCGUUAUCCGGAUUUAUUGGGUUUAAAGGGUGCGUAGGCGGAGUAUCAAGUCAGCGGUAAAAAUUCGGGGCUCAACCGCGGCGUGCCGUGGAUACUGAUGUUCUUGAGUGGGGGAGAGGUGGGCGGAAUGCGUGGUGUAGCGGUGAAAUGCGUAGAUAUCACGCAGAACUCCGAUUGCGAAGGCAGCUUACCGGCGUGCAACUGACGCUGAGGCACGAAAGCGUGGGUAUCGAACAGGAUUAGAUACCCCUGUAGUC